GGGUCGUUAGCUCAGUUGGUAGAGCACCGGACUUUUAAUCCGUUUGUCGUGCGUUCAAUUCGCACACGACCCACCA
Molecule: transfer RNA, 76 nt
Filed under: Gammaproteobacteria bacterium
Lineage: Bacteria; Pseudomonadati; Pseudomonadota; Gammaproteobacteria
Also listed under: 1 other name
Description: tRNA-Lys
Rfam family: tRNA
About the family: Transfer RNA (tRNA) molecules are approximately 80 nucleotides in length. Their secondary structure includes four short double-helical elements and three loops (D, anti-codon, and T loops). Further hydrogen bonds mediate the characteristic L-shaped molecular structure. tRNAs have two regions of fundamental functional importance: the anti-codon, which is responsible for specific mRNA codon recognition, and the 3' end, to which the tRNAs corresponding amino acid is attached (by aminoacyl-tRNA synthetases). tRNAs cope with the degeneracy of the genetic code in two manners: having more than one tRNA (with a specific anti-codon) for a particular amino acid; and 'wobble' base-pairing, i.e. permitting non-standard base-pairing at the 3rd anti-codon position.
Source: RNAcentral